Equus caballus (horse) is the source of this 3696-nucleotide RNA transcript. It is a transcript of the gene named collagen alpha-2(I) chain-like, with no coding region annotated. The record is from RefSeq and is a predicted model, not a curated record. NCBI's taxonomy places the organism in Eukaryota, Metazoa, Chordata, Mammalia, Perissodactyla, Equidae.
GCCCGGGGGGCAGGUGUUCCCGGUCCGCUUGCCUUCCGGCUGCCGGCGGCGCGUCUCUGCCGCCGCGUUUCCCGCCCUUCCGAGGGCUCGCCCCGUGCUCCAGGGCCUGAGGGACCCCCGCGGAGCUCCCGGCUCCGCGAAGGACGGAGAGGCGCGGGGCUAGACGAGGACCCUAACGGCCUUCAGCUCGGGGCGCCCGGCUUGCGCAGCGGGUACGUCGAGGACAGCCUGCCCGCUGAGGUGUUUACUGAAGUGAGCAAGGAUUUGCUGCUAUUUGGAGCCCGAGUGGCAGAUGAGACCAACUUCUUGGGGCACAGUGUGAAUUAAACCCUGAAGGCUGCUGCAGCAGGAUGCCCAGACCACACGUAGACCACCUCCACACCUGCAGAGUUGAGGGGAGCUCAGUUUGGCAGGUACAGGAAAGAGAAGUGCCGUUGCCUUGGAGCAGGGCAGGCUGCAGGGAAAACAAGCAGGAUUCCUGCCUCCUUCACCUUCAGGCUACCCUGGAAGGCAAGUAAGGUGUGAGAACUCAGAUUCCAAGCAGACAAAGUGCGAGCUUUGGCAGGAUCCCACCCCCGUGAUGCAAACAUGCCCUAUGUCCUCAUGGAUAUUCAACAGCCUCUUGGGUUGAUUGGACAAACAUCCCCACAAAUGAGAAAUUGAAGCCGAGUAGGGUGGUCAAGGCCACACUCUAAAUAAGAGAACUGGAACACAGGUCCCAGAGACCCAGGGUCAGGGCAGCCCAGAGCUGCGCACACAUAGGCACGUGCCAAGGUAGACACUGAGUUCUCGCUUCAGGACAAAGGUUGUCUUGACCCCUGAUGGAGUCGGUGUCUGCUGCCAGUUGAUCUCAAAUACAGAUUGGUCCCUGUGCUAGACAUGGAAACGUUAUAGUUGAGUGAGGGAGUUCCAUCUAGGAAACUUGGUAAAUUUUGGUGAGUAGCUAAUUCCUUCUUGCAACAUUCGUACAUCAUUUAAUACACUUAUGGAUUUUGGAAAUAAAUAGUCCUAUGCAAACCCAAUGUAAUAGCAGUACUACUUUAAAAUUAAGGGUUCCCUUGGAAUUGCUCCUGAACCCUCCUCUACCCUGGUGUGGGCCUUCCUUUUAUCCUCCACGUGGCCUCUUACUGUCCCUCCCAUUUCAUCUUCCCUUGCUUUCCAGCACCGACUCCCAGCUGGCCCUGACUCAGGAGAGACUGGGUAUGUACCAGCAGUGGCUGGGAGUGUGGCCUCUGGAGGCAAAGGACCUGGACUCAAACCAUGGCUCUGCUGCAUAGUUGCUGUGUCACCUUAGGCAAGGGGAUUAAGAGAGAUGUUGUCUCAGUCACCUUAUUUUCAAAUCAGGAUAUAAUAGUACUGACCUCACCAGGCUGAUAGAAUUAAAUGUUAAUUCAUGGCAAGUACUAUUUAAAUAGUACCUGGGCCAUAAUAAAUCUUAACUGUUAUCAUCUUGUACAGAAACCUCAAAUAGCUAUAGAACUGAGACCAGUGUUUGUCCUGAAAGAGACUUUCGGACCUUUUAACAAAUAUUUCCUGCCUUCCCUUAUUCACUAAGCAGAGCACUCCGGCUCAGUUCCCCAAACCGGCCCUCCUGCCUUGGCUCAUGCUGACCCAAUACCACCAUCAGUCGCUGUCCCUCAAGGGCAGGCUCUCUCUGGUCAGAUGAGUCCAUGGACUGUCUUCUUCCUUUGAGCCACAUCUAACUAGUUAGCGUUCAAGUUGCUGUAGCCACUAGGUUGUGGAGGCAAGCUGAAGUCAUCAGACAUGAAAAGUAUCCUCCAAGUGACCACUUAUAAAAUUACAGCCAUCACAGCUCAUCUCUCCUGUCUCUGCAUCUAAGAUUGUGAGUUGUUCUAAACUUCUGACAUUGAAAAUACAACAAAAAUAGGUACCAAAGUACAAUUAAAGUUUUGCAAAACAUGUAGAAUUUCAUAGUCCUUAAAGUAUUGUUGGUAAACUGCUCAAAUGAGAGCAGUCAUUGCAAAUGAGGAUCUGAGAGUCAGACCCAUUAACAAAUGAAGAGAAUAGCUGCAUAUAACCAAUUAGAUGCUUCCUGGGGGAUGAUCUGAAUAUCAAAGGUCUAAAGGAUUGAGAGGCCCUCAGGAAAACAGAGGCAGCCCUUGACUAACUUUUGCAAAAAUGACCCUGACUGAUUGCACUGUGGGAAUCAAACAUGAAAUGAUGUCCUAUUGUGCAAUCAUGUAAUUUUAGGAGGGAAAUAUACAUAAAAUAUUUUUUGGUCUAAGAAUUAGCCUAUAGUUGCAGUAACAUUUUGUUAACAGAUACUUAUUUUAGUAGUUUCAUUUUGCAAGAUAACUUCCAGUCGAGCCUUUUUCACUAUUUACCAUAAGAAACUCUGGUCUCCAUUUUAAGUGGGUUGACUCUAAGAGGCUUUUUCAGGUCCCAGUUCUUUUUGGAUAAUGAGAGCCUUUUAAUUUAUCUGCCCAAUCUUCCCUAACAGACGGCACACUCUUGAGGGCAAAUGCCAGAGACAGAAAUGCCAUGUCACCUCAUGAGGCAGUGAGGGCGGGGAUGCAUCUAAGUCACCAGUGAAGCCUGUGCAGACCAACAGCCCUCAAUUACUUGUUAAAUGAACGAGUCACCCAGUGUAUCCAGAGCUGUUAGAGGCAGAGACCCAUGGCUGAACCUCAGUUAGGGUCCCCAGCAAUGAGGGGUGAUUGUGUGACCUCAGACACUGUCUCUUGUCCUCAGCCCAGUCUGGGCUUUUCAGGCAUUGGCAGUGACCUCUAAAAACCUGGAGUGCUUUGAAGGGCAGGGCUAUGUGGAGGAUACGAGAGUGGCCAGGGUGAUCUCCUGCUGCCACCCCGCUGCCCUCCCCAUCAGGCAGCACACAGGAGCCGUAUGCAGUGGCUACAGGUGCCCUGGUUCAUUCCUGCCUGAUGUGGUUCAGAACUUCCUAUGACUGUUACUGAAACCAAAGUGGGUUAGGCUCCUGGCAAGUUAAAUCAGACUCUCCACCAGAAGGAGCUGUCACACAAAGUAAAGUAUAUUAGCAGCAGCAAAUAGGAGGCCAUGUGGAAUCAUUUCCAAAGUUGUGGCGUCCCUCAACAAAGCAGGGGCUUUUUAUUUUGGAUGGGGAAUGAAUAUUCAAAAGGGGAAAGGUGGGUAUUCGCUUGGGCAGGCUCAGUUGGAAAACAUGCUUCCGCGUACACUGCAGGUUAUGGUAAUAAGGCCUAAGCUCAUUCCGAGGGGAGAUCCUAGCAUUAAAAAUAAGGCUUAGUCUUGUGAUUGGUGGUUGGUGAGCGCAUCUCUUAAAUGCUUUCAAACCCACCCUUGAGUUCCUUGGGGAAAUUAGUGACACCUUGAGCUUCAUAAACAGACUGAAUGAUGGUACUUUUCCCAGUCCUAGGGAAGGUGGGUGGGGAUUUGGGGAGGAAUUCAACUGCAAUCUGGAAAGAGGAGGUUAACUUCCUACUUGGGGGUGGGGGAAAGGAGAAAAUUGGCACCAAUGUUCACCCCUGCCCCGGGGUGCCAGCUGCUUGGGAAGGAACUGCUGAUAUUUUGGCGCUUUAAUAGCCUCCACGCACAGGACAAAAAGCAAGGCCAGCAUACAACCCGGGCCCAAGCCUCUGCCUCCAUCUGUGCUGCACUGAGGUAAGGCCCACCUGGCUCUGCCGCCCCUGCCCCUCAGCCUGGAGAGCUAGCCCACGUUAUGGCUCGGUCUUUAGUAGAGAA